RNAcentral lists this ribosomal RNA (267 nucleotides) under uncultured archaeon. RNAcentral describes it as "partial 16S ribosomal RNA". It matches the Rfam family "Archaeal small subunit ribosomal RNA", at positions 747 to 1009 of the family's 1478-position model. The record is from RNAcentral.
CACGCCCUAAAACCGAAUGCGCGUUAGGUGUAUCGGUGACCACGAGUCACCGAGGUGCCGAAGGGAAACCGGUGAAACGUGCCGCCUGGGAAGUACGGUCGCAAGGCUGAAACUUAAAGGAAUUGGCGGGGGAGGCACCACAACGGGUGGAGCCUGCGGUUUAAUUGGACUCAACGCCGGGAAGCUCACCGGAUAAGACAGCGGAAUGAUUGCCGGGCUGAAGACCCUGCAUGACCAGCUGAGAGGAGGUGCAUGGCGUAGACGUCU